RNAcentral lists this long non-coding RNA (610 nucleotides) under Equus caballus (horse). RNAcentral's name for it is "lncRNA (ENSECAG00000051520.1)". Lineage: Eukaryota; Metazoa; Chordata; Mammalia; Perissodactyla; Equidae. The record is from RNAcentral.
UCUGGAGGCCAGCCACUCGGUCCACUUAGAGGGAUAACAAACGUCCAUUAACUGUCAAUAAAGAGGAAAGAGAAAAGAACAGAAAAGGGAGGAUGACCAGUGUAAGACACAUUCUGAAGGAGCGACUGAGAGGAGUCUUGUGGACCUCUGAUUUCUUCUCUAUAAAUGUAAGAUCUCUAAGGCUGCAUGCAGUUAAAUAUGCACCCCAUCCCGUUACAUAUGCAGAACUAUUGCCAUUGGGAGCGAUGAAAACGAUUUCCGCUGUGAUUAAGUUCUAUGUUGGGCAUGAUGUCCAGCAGAUUGGCCCUGAGCUAACAUCUGUUGCUUGAGGAAGAUGUUGCGGAGCUAACGUCUGUGCCAAUCUUCCUCUAAUUUAUAUGUGGGACACCUGCCACAGUGUGGCUUGACAGCAGUGUUAGGUCCAUGCCCGGGAUCCAAACCUACGAACCCCAGGCUGCCGAAGUGGAGUGUGCAAACUUAACCACUAUGCCACCAGGCCAGCCCCAUAUUAACUUUUUUUUACGCCAUAUGUGUCUUUGUGACUAGCCCUAACUUAACUGUUAUAAUUCUAGAAACUACAAAAACAAUAAAUCGCUAUUUUCAUCCAGAA